GUCAGCUGUGAGCAAGCUAGUGGGUGGGAGGAAGGUGCAGGGCUGGUGAGAGCGGAGGGUGUUUCAAGGAGACAGGAAACAGUGACAGAGGAAGUAUAUGAGAAAAAGGCAUCCUGAAGUAAACUCACAGGAACAUACAUCACAGAUUCCUGCUGAACCUGGAUGGAGAGGAAAACAAGUAACUGCAGGCUACAAAAGUAAAGCAACAUAAGCUUGCUGUUCCUUCAAAACAGGUUCUGAGGCUGGGCGAAUUACAAUACAAACGCACUGCAAUCAGUUUUCAAGGAGAAUCAAUUUUCGGGGUCUCAAGGGACAGCAGCACAUUGCUUCAGCACAAUUCUCUGGCACUACCAGGAGCUCUCAGCUGGCUCAGAAGGAUGCAGCUAAGUGAAAGAUGAAAGAACUGCUGCAGAUCCACAGCCUUGCUAAUGGGAAUACUGCUACUGUGCAGCAGUGGAGUUAAAGCGCGAGUGAAAGGAAAGGGAAGAGAAAACCAGUGCAGGUAAAGGAGAAAAUGUCCUACGGAAUACAGCUGAACAGAAGAAAUUAAAACAGACAGCAUAAAAAAGGUUGCUCACCUCUCCUCACGAUUCUGUCCCACACAGACCCGUCCUCCAUGUCGAGGGGUUGGAUUGCUGCAGGAACGCUGACGAACUUGAAAGCCUAUUCCACAAGUGGUACUACAAGGUGACCAAGAAGUCCAUGGUGUCCAGCCUCCAUUUCUGGUAGAAUAAAAAGCUCAGGCUCUGUCAUCUGUUAUACAUAGCGAAUGGCUGAUUAGGUGUGACUGACAGCAGAAUCUUGCCCAUUCAUAUUUCUGUAGAAGUCAUUAAUACUACAUGGUGUUUCAUUUCUUAAAGCAUGCUGAACUAAAAGAAAGGUGUUCUGAUCCUUCCAUAUUUCAUGCUUUGUAAUCAGCAACUGCUAAAGUGACCUUACUACACAAGAAGUAGAAAGAUGUGAAACUGUUUAGCUGCUUUUGGUCACUUUAUUCUGGGUAAAUGUUAUCUGCAAACUCUUGUAUCAAAUUGAUGAAGAUAACUUUUAAUUACAUAUUGUUCCACUUAUUAUUUGUGGGUCUUUUCUUCAGGGAGAUUAAAAUGUCAAGUUUUGCUUCUGAUAAUGAUGAAAGGAAAAAAAAAGCAAUAAGUGUCAAAAUUCAUUAGUUUGCAAUUUCAACAGGGUUUUCUCACAACGCACCAAAUACCUCAUUUGUAAUGUAACAAAAAACCUAAGAGAAUUCACAUGCUGUACCCUGCACUUGUGAACUUUUGGAAAGGACACUCCUGUCCCUUCCCAAUAUACCCUAGGAAAAAAUAUACUAGACCAAACAACUCAAAAGGAAUUUCAUACCCUGUCCUAAUCAAAAAAUGAUGCACUUCAGCAGUUCCCAAAAUCUUUUGAUGGCUAGCUUGAAGUUUCUGUAUUGGUAGAAGACAAACAGAAAUCAACAAAAAUAAAACUAAAUUAUAAUUAGUUCUUAAGGUUUCAUCAUGAAAGCAAAGUUAAAAUAGUGUCUUACUUGAUUUUGAAUUCACUUUUUUAGCAAUGAAAACAAAAUAAAUCCAAUAAUAAAAAUGAUAUGAAAUUGUUCAGGUAAUUUAUCACAAAUAUUACCACUUUAAAUUUCACUCAUCUUUGUGACCAUUAUAAGGGAUAUGAGAAUUGAUGAUGCAGAAAAAAGUUUUUGAAAAACAGAGUCAGAUAUCACUGGUAACACAGACAAAAAAAUAAGAUCUCUGUCAAUGCAAUAUCUGACUCAAGUGGCAAAAGGAAUAAAGUACCUGGAUACACUGCCAAUGAUAGUACAUGAAUCAAGUCCUAAAUCAUGUUCCAAAUUCUCUUCUAAACCUGAGAGACAAUAACUCUUGUUUGAUUGUUCGGUAUCUCACAGCCUGCUUAUCUUUUUUAUUAUUCUUCUCAUCUAAUGUUAUAUACUAUAUUGUUAUGUUUUUAAUAAUUACCCUGAAAUGGACUAUUUCGACUUACAUAGCUUGCAGUUAAUUGUGCAGAAGGGUAACCACUUUUAUUCACUACCAUGAUGUGCUUCUGAUGUUCAAAAAAGAAAAACAAAACAAAACAGAGACAAAAAGCAGAAAGAAUCACUGAAAAUAAACAGAAUGCACCACUAUGUAAGUUUCAUCUUGCAAUUAAAGUUUUUAUAAUGUUUUAACAAU
Molecule: long non-coding RNA, 2177 nt
Organism: Columba livia (rock pigeon)
Lineage: Eukaryota; Metazoa; Chordata; Aves; Columbiformes; Columbidae
Exons: 2
Source: RefSeq, a predicted model, not a curated record